CAGUCGAGCGAACGGAUAAGGAGCUUGCUCCUUUGAAGUUAGCGGCGGACGGGUGAGUAACACGUGGGUAACCUACCUAUAAGACUGGGAUAACUUCGGGAAACCGGAGCUAAUACCGGAUAACAUUUAGAACCGCAUGGUUCUAAAGUGAAAGAUGGUUUUGCUAUCACUUAUAGAUGGACCCGCGCCGUAUUAGCUAGUUGGUAAGGUAACGGCUUACCAAGGCGACGAUACGUAGCCGACCUGAGAGGGUGAUCGGCCACACUGGAACUGAGACACGGUCCAGACUCCUACGGGAGGCAGCAGUAGGGAAUCUUCCGCAAUGGGCGAAAGCCUGACGGAGCAACGCCGCGUGAGUGAUGAAGGGUUUCGGCUCGUAAAACUCUGUUAUUAGGGAAGAACAAAUGUGUAAGUAACUGUGCACAUCUUGACGGUACCUAAUCAGAAAGCCACGGCUAACUACGUGCCAGCAGCCGCGGUAAUACGUAGGUGGCAAGCGUUAUCCGGAAUUAUUGGGCGUAAAGCGCGCGUAGGCGGUUUCUUAAGUCUGAUGUGAAAGCCCACGGCUCAACCGUGGAGGGUCAUUGGAAACUGGGAAACUUGAGUGCAGAAGAGGAAAGUGGAAUUCCAUGUGUAGCGGUGAAAUGCGCAGAGAUAUGGAGGAACACCAGUGGCGAAGCGACUUUCUGGUCUGUAACUGACGCUGAUGUGCGAAAGCGUGGGGAUCAACAGGAUUAGAUACCCUGGUAGUCCACGCCGUAACGAUGA
This 768-nucleotide ribosomal RNA is filed under the name Staphylococcus xylosus. Its description in RNAcentral is "bacterial SSU rRNA". It matches the Rfam family "Bacterial small subunit ribosomal RNA", at positions 59 to 812 of the family's 1533-position model. The record is from RNAcentral. Lineage: Bacteria; Bacillati; Bacillota; Bacilli; Caryophanales; Staphylococcaceae.